Molecule: ribosomal RNA, 449 nt
Filed under: uncultured bacterium
Lineage: Bacteria
Description: bacterial SSU rRNA
Rfam family: Bacterial small subunit ribosomal RNA
Source: RNAcentral
CCCAGACUCCUACGGGAGGCAGCAGUGGGGAAUAUUGGGCAAUGGGCGCAAGCCUGACCCAGCAACGCCGCGUGAAGGAAGAAGGCUUUCGGGUUGUAAACUUCUUUUGUCAGGGACGAAGCAAGUGACGGUACCUGACGAAUAAGCCACGGCUAACUACGUGCCAGCAGCCGCGGUAAUACGUAGGGGGCAAGCGUUAUCCGGAUUUACUGGGUGUAGAGGGAGCGUAGGUGGCAUGGUAAGCCAGAAGUGAAAACCCAGGGCUCAACUCUGUGGAUUGCUUUUGGAACUAUCAAGCUAGAGUGCUGGAGGGGUAAGCGGAAUUCCUAGUGUAGCGGUGAAAUGCGUAGAUAUUAGGAGGAACACCGGUGGCGAAGGCGGCUUACUGGACAGAAACUGACACUGAGGCUCGAAAGCGUGGGGAGCAAACAGGAUUAGAUACCCUAGUA